RNAcentral lists this ribosomal RNA (787 nucleotides) under uncultured Pelagibacteraceae bacterium. RNAcentral describes it as "bacterial SSU rRNA". It matches the Rfam family "Bacterial small subunit ribosomal RNA", at positions 53 to 888 of the family's 1533-position model. Lineage: Bacteria; Pseudomonadati; Pseudomonadota; Alphaproteobacteria; Candidatus Pelagibacterales; Candidatus Pelagibacteraceae. The record is from RNAcentral.
ACAUGCAAGUCGAACGAAGUAGCAAUACUUAGUGGCAGACGGGUGAGUAUAAUGUAGGUAUCUGCCCUUUGGCCUGGAAUAACACGAGGAAACUUGUGCUAAUACCGGAUAAGUCUUUACGGAGAAAGCUUUAUGCACCAUUGGAUGAGCCUGCACUUGAUUAGUUUGUUGGUGGGGUAAUGGCCUACCAAGACUGUGAUCAAUAGCUGAUUUGAGAGGAUGAUCAGCCACAUUGGGACUGAGACACGGCCCAAACUCCUACGGGAGGCAGCAGUGGGGAAUCUUGCACAAUGGAGGAAACUCUGAUGCAGCGAUGCCGCGUGAGUGAAGAAGGCCUUUGGGUUGUAAAGCUCUUUCGUCGGGGAAGAAAAUGACUGUACCCGAAUAAGAAGGUCCGGCUAACUUCGUGCCAGCAGCCGCGGUAAUACGAAGGGACCUAGCGUAGUUCGGAAUUACUGGGCUUAAAGAGUUCGUAGGUGGUUGAAAAAGUUGGUGGUGAAAUCCCAGAGCUUAACUCUGGAACUGCCAUCAAAACUUUUCAGCUAGAGUAUGAUAGAGGAAAGCAGAAUUUCUAGUGUAGAGGUGAAAUUCGUAGAUAUUAGAAAGAAUACCAAUUGCGAAGGCAGCUUUCUGGAUCAUUACUGACACUGAGGAACGAAAGCAUGGGUAGCGAAGAGGAUUAGAUACCCUCGUAGUCCAUGCCGUAAACGAUGUGUGUUAGACGUUGGAAAUUUAUUUUCAGUGUCGCAGCGAAAGCGAUAAACACACCGCCUGGGGAGUACGACCG